AUACGGAGGAUCCGAGCGUUAUCCGGAUUUAUUGGGUUUAAAGGGUGCGCAGGCGGCCAUUUAAGUCAGCGGUUAAAUCGUGGGGCUCAACCCCAUUCUGCCGUUGAUACUGGGUGGCUUGAUUGCGGUCGAGGUUGGCGGAAUUCGUUGUGUAGCGGUGAAAUGCAUAGAUAUGCCGAAGAACACCGAUUGCGUAGGCAGCUGACCAGACCGCAAAUGACGCUCAUGCACGAAAGUGCGGGGAUCGAACAGGAUUAGAUACCCUGGUAGUCCGCACAGUAAACGAUGAAUACUUGUUUUCGGCGAUAUAAUGUCGGAGGCAAAGCGAAAGCGAUAAGUAUUCCACCUGGGGAGUACGCCGGCAACGGUGAAACUCAAAUGAAUUGACGGGG
Molecule: ribosomal RNA, 392 nt
Filed under: uncultured bacterium
Lineage: Bacteria
Description: partial 16S ribosomal RNA
Rfam family: Bacterial small subunit ribosomal RNA
Source: RNAcentral